Long non-coding RNA from Micropterus dolomieu (smallmouth bass), 361 nucleotides. RefSeq lists it as uncharacterized. The record is from RefSeq and is a predicted model, not a curated record. The transcript has 4 exons. NCBI's taxonomy places the organism in Eukaryota, Metazoa, Chordata, Actinopteri, Centrarchiformes, Centrarchidae.
AGGAAAUGAAUAGUGUUCAAUAAACGACCCAGCUGAAUGUGGUCUCCUCACAGCUCAAAGGUGCCCUGCUGGUGGAUCGUGUUGAAGAAAAGGAAGAUCACGUUCUGGUGUACAUAACGGAGUUAACGAAGAACAUAGCUAUCAACCACAGCUUAGACCUCCUACAGGAGCUCACAGUGCAGAACCUGAAGCCAGCCGUGGUCAAGAUCUAUGACUACUACCAGCCAAGUGACCAGGCUGAGACAGAAUACAUCUACCCUUGUGCUGCAGAUUGACGAGUGAUGUGUGGUCUGUCCUCAGAUUGUCACUGAUUGAAAAAAACCUGCGUUUUAUUAAAGAUACAUUUUAUGUGCCUUGUGUA